Molecule: non-coding RNA, 52 nt
Organism: Methanohalobium evestigatum Z-7303
Lineage: Archaea; Methanobacteriati; Methanobacteriota; Methanomicrobia; Methanosarcinales; Methanosarcinaceae
Source: Rfam
ACGGGAUGUUAUCCCGUCGGAAUGUGACUCAAAAUAUGAGUUGAACCAUGAA